This 424-nucleotide ribosomal RNA is filed under the name uncultured bacterium. RNAcentral describes it as "bacterial SSU rRNA". It matches the Rfam family "Bacterial small subunit ribosomal RNA", at positions 355 to 776 of the family's 1533-position model. The record is from RNAcentral.
UAAGGAAUAUUGGUCAAUGGAGGCAACUCUGAACCAGCCAUGCCGCGUGCAGGAAGACGGCCCUAUGGGUUGUAAACUGCUUUUAUUCGGGAAUAAACCCUUUUACGUGUAAGAGGUUGAAUGUACCGAAAGAAUAAGGAUCGGCUAACUCCGUGCCAGCAGCCGCGGUAAUACGGAGGAUCCAAGCGUUAUCCGGAUUUAUUGGGUUUAAAGGGUGCGUAGGCGGCUUAUUAAGUCAGGGGUGAAAGACGGUGGCUCAACCAUCGCAGUGCCUUUGAUACUGAUGAGCUUGAAUACACUUGAGGUAGGCGGAAUGUGACAAGUAGCGGUGAAAUGCAUAGAUAUGUCACAGAACACCAAUUGCGAAGGCAGCUUACUAAGGUGCAAUUGACGCUGAGGCACGAAAGCGUGGGGAUCAAACAGG